Molecule: ribosomal RNA, 461 nt
Filed under: uncultured bacterium
Lineage: Bacteria
Description: bacterial SSU rRNA
Rfam family: Bacterial small subunit ribosomal RNA
Source: RNAcentral
GAUGAACGCUGGCGGCGUGCUUGAUACAUGCAAGUCGAACGGAGAGUGUAGCAAUAUACUUUUAGUGGCGAACGGGUGAGUAACGCGUUGGUGACCUGCCCCGAAGCGAGGGAUAACAGUUCGAAAGAACUGCUAAUACCUCAUGUGAUCACCGGUUUUAGAAUCUGGUGAUUAAAGGUGAAAAUCACUUCGGGAGGGGCCUGCGUCCCAUCAGCUAGUUGGUAAGGUAAUGGCUUACCAAGGCGAUGACGGGUAGGGGACCUGAGAGGGUGGCCCCCCACAAUGGAACUGAAACACGGUCCAUACACCUACGGGUGGCAGCAGUAGGGAAUAUUGCAAAUGGGCGAAAGGCCUGAUGUAGCAAACGCCGCGUGUGCGAUGAAGGUCUUCGGAUUGUAAAGCACUUUUUGGAGGGAUGAGGAAGGACAGUACCUCCAGAAUAAGCCUCGGCUAACUACGUG